GAUGAACGCUGGCGGCGUGCCUAAUACAUGCAAGUCGAGCGAACAGACGAGGAGCUUGCUCCUCUGACGUUAGCGGCGGACGGGUGAGUAACACGUGGAUAACCUACCUAUAAGACUGGGAUAACUUCGGGAAACCGGAGCUAAUACCGGAUAAUAUAUUGAACCGCAUGGUUCAAUAGUGAAAGACGGUUUUGCUGUCACUUAUAGAUGGAUCCGCGCCGCAUUAGCUAGUUGGUAAGGUAACGGCUUACCAAGGCAACGAUGCGUAGCCGACCUGAGAGGGUGAUCGGCCACACUGGAACUGAGACACGGUCCAGACUCCUACGGGAGGCAGCAGUAAGGAAUCUUCCGCAAUGGGCGAAAGCUUGACGGAGCAACGCCGCGUGAGUGGUGAAGGUCUUCGGAUCGUAAAACUCUGUUAUUAGGGAAGAACAAAUGUGUAAGUAACUAUGCACGUCUUGACGGUACCUAAUCAGAAAGCCACGGCUAACUACGUG
Molecule: ribosomal RNA, 497 nt
Filed under: uncultured bacterium
Lineage: Bacteria
Description: partial 16S ribosomal RNA
Rfam family: Bacterial small subunit ribosomal RNA
Source: RNAcentral